AUGAACGCUAGCGGCAGGCUUAAUACAUGCAAGGCGAGGGGGCAGCAAUGUCACCGUCGUACGGGUGCGUAACGCGUAUGCAACCUACCUUCAACUGGGGGAUAGCCCGGGGAAACCCGGAUUAAUACCGCAUAAUACAUUUGGGCCACCUGGUUUGAUUUGUUAAAGAUUUAUUGGUUGAAGAUGGGCAUGCGUUCGAUUAGCUAGUUGGCGGGGUAACGGCCCACCAAGGCGACGAUCGAUAGGGGAGCUGAGAGGUUGAUCCCCCACACGGGCACUGAGAUACGGGCCCGACUCCUACGGGAGGCAGCAGUAGGGAAUAUUGGGCAAUGGAUGCAAGUCUGACCCAGCCAUGCCGCGUGCCGGAUGAAGGCCCUCAGGGUUGUAAACGGCUUUUAUUCGGGAAGAAGAGCAGGGAUGCGUCCUUGUGUGACGGUACCGAAUGAAUAAGCACCGGCUAACUCCGU
This 467-nucleotide ribosomal RNA is filed under the name uncultured bacterium. Its description in RNAcentral is "bacterial SSU rRNA". It matches the Rfam family "Bacterial small subunit ribosomal RNA", at positions 29 to 506 of the family's 1533-position model. The record is from RNAcentral.